UCUCCACCUCCUCUAUCUCCUCUCCUUCUCCACCACCCAAACCAUCACUAACCCCGCCGAUAUCCUCCCCAAUUCAGCUCCGCCAUCGUCAGCAAGCUCCAGUCCUUAGGUUUCACCAACCUCGUCCUCCGCACCCACACCGACCUCGACCUCACGCGCUAAAACGACGUCGAGUCCUUCUUCGCAGCCGAAAAGCCCCAAUUCUAUGGGCUUGACGGUUGACACAUCUUUGUAUCCAUAUGACCCAUCCGAUUCAAGCAGGUUCCAGCAACCUCCAGCUCAGCCACAAGAAGAAAGGAGGCGCUGCAUCGAUCAUCAUGUGAAAAUAGAUGUGGAGUUGACCAAAAUUUAAACAGAGUUGGUUUCUGAAAGACCGCUUCUCGGACCAUUGUGUUCGAACUUUUUGUUGAGUUUGUGUACAACAUUUCUUUUUCAGUUCCAGACUCGUCUUCCCUUUAAAAUGUAUUUCUAGUUGGUGUGUAAAUUGUACUGCUAGUUAGGAUUUCUUAUGGAUAAAGAAUAGUGUUAUGAACAGAGUAACUCGAGACAUUCUGGCAGUUACAAUGAUGUGGUCUUCUAUUGGUUUUGAUUCA
Rosa rugosa (rugosa rose) is the source of this 593-nucleotide long non-coding RNA. RefSeq lists it as uncharacterized. NCBI's taxonomy places the organism in Eukaryota, Viridiplantae, Streptophyta, Magnoliopsida, Rosales, Rosaceae. The transcript has 2 exons. The record is from RefSeq and is a predicted model, not a curated record.